GCGAGGUGCUCACUGGUUCGUCGGCGGCUAUGAGAAAGAUGGCGGCGGUAGAAGCUUUUUCCGGCGAGAAAUUCCGGUGAGGUGGAAGCGAAAUCGCGCGAGGGAGUUGGGGCAAAAGAGAGAGAGAGAGGUGUGGGCUUCAGGGUAACGCGCUCAAAACCGAAAGCGGGGCUGCGGGCGCGACGAAAUCGCGUGGAGGCGUCGUGGGCGCGGACUCGUGCUUGGCUGGGUGACUCGGGCGGCAGUUCGUGGGGAAGACGGAGCCUGACAGCGGGCCCUGCUCGUCAGUGGCAGCGGCUCGGGCGCAGGUGAGUGGGUCGGUUCGGCCCAUUUGGCCGGGCCGGCCGUCCUUUCUCUUUUUUUUUUCUUCUUUUGCUUUUUCUUUUUCUAUUUUCUAUUUUUGAAUACCAAAUUUGAUUCAAAGCUCCAAAUCAAACCAAAUAAAAUUUGUAAAAUCAUAUUUUCAUAUGAUUCAACAUUUGGGACAAGAAUUCCCUCAAAAUAAAAUAUUUAAAAAUACUUUUGCCUAUAAACUAGCCCUGAGGGCUUUUUAGCUAUUAAAAUAAUUAGUGUUUCAAAUCAAAUUCAAAAACCAAUAAAUGGGGUAGCUUUAUAAAUGCAUUAAACCCCUUUUUAUGCCAGAACCCUUAUGGGUUAAAAUGCAAUUAACCCA
This 673-nucleotide long non-coding RNA is filed under the name Brachypodium distachyon (stiff brome). RNAcentral's name for it is "long non-coding RNA (BDIS_LNC005208)". Lineage: Eukaryota; Viridiplantae; Streptophyta; Magnoliopsida; Poales; Poaceae. The record is from RNAcentral.